RNAcentral lists this ribosomal RNA (903 nucleotides) under uncultured Bacteroidota bacterium. RNAcentral describes it as "bacterial SSU rRNA". It matches the Rfam family "Bacterial small subunit ribosomal RNA", at positions 8 to 916 of the family's 1533-position model. The record is from RNAcentral. Lineage: Bacteria; Pseudomonadati; Bacteroidota.
AGAGUUUGAUCCUGGCUCAGGAUGAACGCUAGCGGCAGGCCUAACACAUGCAAGUCGAGCGGUAGGGGACUUCGGUCCCUGAGAGCGGCGCACGGGUGCGUAACGCGUAUGCAACCUACCCUUUACAGGGGAAUAGCCCGUCGAAAGGCGGAUUAAUGCCCCAUGGCUCCUUUGAGAGGCAUCUCUUGGAGGGUAAAGAUUUAUCGGUAAAGGAUGGGCAUGCGUGCCAUUAGCUUGAUGGUGGGGUAACGGCCCACCAUGGCGACGAUGGCUAGGGGUUCUGAGAGGAAGGCCCCCCACACUGGGACUGAGACACGGCCCAGACUCCUACGGGAGGCAGCAGUGAGGAAUAUUGGUCAAUGGGCGCAAGCCUGAACCAGCCAUGCCGCGUGCGGGAAGAAGGCGCUACGCGUCGUAAACCGCUUUUGUCCGGGGGUAACCGCGGGGACGUGUCCCCGCCUGCAAGUACCGGACGAAUAAGGGUCGGCUAACUCCGUGCCAGCAGCCGCGGUAAUACGGAGGACCCGAGCGUUAUCCGGAUUCAUUGGGUUUAAAGGGUGCGUAGGCGGCCCGGUAAGUCAGCGGUGAAAGGCUCCUGCUCCACAGGAGAGCUGCCGUUGAUACUGCUGGGCUAGAAUCUUAGCGAGGCGGGCGGAAUGCGCGGUGUAGCGGUGAAAUGCAUAGAUAUCGCGCAGAACGCCGAUUGGGGAGCCAGCUCGCCAGCUGAGUAUUGACGCUGAGGCACGAAAGCGUGGGGAUCGAACAGGAUUAGAUACCCUGGUAGUCCACGCCGUAAACGAUGAUGGCUCGCUCUUGGUUCGCAAGGAUCAGGGGCUUAGCGAAAGCGUUAAGCCAUCCACCUGGGGAGUACGCCGGCAACGGUGAAACUCAAGGAAUUGACGG